This 148-nucleotide non-coding RNA is filed under the name Gorilla gorilla gorilla (western lowland gorilla). Lineage: Eukaryota; Metazoa; Chordata; Mammalia; Primates; Hominidae. The record is from Rfam by way of RNAcentral.
GCCGGGCAUGGUGGUGCGUGCCUGUAGUCCCAGCUACUCGAGAGGCUGAGGCAGGAGAAUCACUUGAGCCCGGGAGAUGGAGGUUGCAGUGAGCUGAGAUCUCGCCACUGCACUCCAACUUGGGCAACAAAGUGAGACUUUGUCUCAA